Molecule: ribosomal RNA, 652 nt
Filed under: uncultured bacterium
Lineage: Bacteria
Description: bacterial SSU rRNA
Rfam family: Bacterial small subunit ribosomal RNA
Source: RNAcentral
CUGAAAGAUGGGCUCGCGUCUGAUUAGAUAGUUGGUGGGGUAACGGCCUACCAAGUCGACGAUCAGUAGCCGGGUUGAGAGACUGACCGGCCACAUUGGGACUGAGAUACGGCCCAGACUCCUACGGGAGGCAGCAGUGGGGAAUAUUGGGCAAUGGGGGAAACCCUGACCCAGCAACGCCGCGUGAAGGAAGAAGGCCUUCGGGUUGUAAACUUCUUUUACCAGGGACGCGGUACCUGGAGAAAAAGCAACGGCUAACUACGUGCCAGCAGCCGCGGUAAUACGUAGGUUGCAAGCGUUGUCCGGACUUACUGGGUGUAAAGGGCGUGUAGGCGGAGGCGCAAGUUGGGAGUGAAAUCUAUGGGCUCAACCCAAAACUGCUCUCAAAACUGUGCCCCUUGAGUAUCGGAGAGGCAAGCGGAAUUCCUAGUGUAGCGGUGAAAUGCGUAGAUAUUAGGAGGAACACCAGUGGCGAAGGCGGCUUGCUGGACGACAACUGACGCUGAGGCGCGAAAGCGUGGGGAGCAAACAGGAUUAGAUACCCUGGUAGUCCACGCUGUAAACGAUGAAUACUAGGUGUGGGACCGUGCCGCAGUUAACACAAUAAGUAUUCCACCUGGGGAGUACGACCGCAAGGUUGCAACUCAAAUGA